CGUUUGACGUUAGCGACAGAAGAAAGCACCGGCUAACUCCGUGCCAGCAGCCGCGGUAAUACGGAGGGUGCGAGCGUUAAUCGGAAUUACUGGGCGUAAAGCGCAUGCAGGUGGUUUGUUAAGUCAGAUGUGAAAGACCCGGGGCGUCAACCUCGGAAUAGCAUUUGUAAACUAGGCAGACUAGAGUACUGUAGAGGGGGGUAGGAAUUUCAGGUGUAGCGGUGAAAUAGCGUAGAGAUCUGAAGGAAUACCGGUGGCGAAGGCGGCCCCCUCGGACAGAUACUGACACUCAGAUGCGAAAGCGUGGGGAGCAAACAGGAUUAGAUACCCUGGUAG
RNAcentral lists this ribosomal RNA (336 nucleotides) under uncultured bacterium. RNAcentral's name for it is "bacterial SSU rRNA". It matches the Rfam family "Bacterial small subunit ribosomal RNA", at positions 466 to 793 of the family's 1533-position model. The record is from RNAcentral.